GGGAAGGGCAGCCUCAUCUCAUGUUUGCAAUGGCUACGGGCACUUUAUUAGGUACACUUCUAGUAUCAGUUAAAGCCCUUUUUGCCUUCAGAACUGCCCCAUUUCUUCAUGGCACAGAUUCAAUAAAGUGCUGGAAACAUUCAGAGAUUUUAGUCCAUGUUGACAUGAAAUCAUCACACAGCUGCUGCUGACUUGACAGCUGCAUGGUGAGAAUCUCCUGUUCCCCCACAUCCCAAAGGUUCUCUGUUGGACUGAGAUAAGAAACCAGUUUGAGAUGAUGUGAGCUUUGGGACAGUGUGCAUUAUCCUGCUGGAAGCAGCCAUCAGCAGAUGGUACACUGUGGUUAUAAAGGGAUGGACAUGGUCAGCAACAACAUUCAGUUUCUGGCCAUCCAGCUCUAAAGCUGUGAAAACACCAACAUGCUGACUGCAACAGGAAAAUAUUUAUGGUCAGAGAACAAUCUCCCUUUGGCGUGGUGAUGUAGUCUAAUCAAAACAGCGAUUGAA
This is a long non-coding RNA of Oreochromis aureus, 506 nucleotides long. Lineage: Eukaryota; Metazoa; Chordata; Actinopteri; Cichliformes; Cichlidae. The record is from Ensembl.